GCGGGGGUAACUCAAUUGGCAGAGUCACAGCCUUCCAAGCUGUUGGUUGCGAGUUCGAACCUCGUCCCCCGCU
Molecule: transfer RNA, 73 nt
Filed under: Ignavibacteriota bacterium
Lineage: Bacteria; Pseudomonadati; Ignavibacteriota
Also listed under: 2 other names
Description: Ignavibacteriae bacterium (activated sludge metagenome) tRNA-Gly
Rfam family: tRNA
About the family: Transfer RNA (tRNA) molecules are approximately 80 nucleotides in length. Their secondary structure includes four short double-helical elements and three loops (D, anti-codon, and T loops). Further hydrogen bonds mediate the characteristic L-shaped molecular structure. tRNAs have two regions of fundamental functional importance: the anti-codon, which is responsible for specific mRNA codon recognition, and the 3' end, to which the tRNAs corresponding amino acid is attached (by aminoacyl-tRNA synthetases). tRNAs cope with the degeneracy of the genetic code in two manners: having more than one tRNA (with a specific anti-codon) for a particular amino acid; and 'wobble' base-pairing, i.e. permitting non-standard base-pairing at the 3rd anti-codon position.
Source: RNAcentral